UACAGAGGUCUCAAGCGUUGUUCGGAAUCACUGGGCUUAAAGCGCGUGUAGGCGGGACGGCACGUCGGUCGCUGAAAUCCCCCGGCUCAACCGGGGAACGGGCGCCGAUACGACCGUCCUGGAGGGACGUAGGGGGACCUGGAACUUCCGGUGGAGCGGUGAAAUGCGUUGAGAUCGGAAGGAACGCCCGUGGCGAAAGCGAGGUCCUGGACGUUUUCUGACGCUGAGACGCGAAAGCCAGGGGAGCGAACGGG
RNAcentral lists this ribosomal RNA (254 nucleotides) under uncultured bacterium. Its description in RNAcentral is "partial 16S ribosomal RNA". It matches the Rfam family "Bacterial small subunit ribosomal RNA", at positions 524 to 776 of the family's 1533-position model. The record is from RNAcentral.